UGCCUGGUGGUGUAACGGUAGCACAAGAGACUCUGGAUCUCUUUGUCUAGGUUCGAAUCCUAGCCAGGCAGCCA
This 74-nucleotide transfer RNA is filed under the name Chthoniobacterales bacterium. RNAcentral describes it as "tRNA-Gln". It matches the Rfam family "tRNA". From Rfam's summary of the family: Transfer RNA (tRNA) molecules are approximately 80 nucleotides in length. The record is from RNAcentral. Lineage: Bacteria; Pseudomonadati; Verrucomicrobiota; Spartobacteria; Chthoniobacterales.